AUAAGAGCGUCACUUGAAAUUUGUCCAUAAUCUUUAUUUUAUUCAUUGAACAUACGAUGAUGUGGAUUAGUCUUUUGUCAUGUCAUGGUGGUAAAAAAAAAAGUUGUACAAGAUGGCGUAAAGAUCAUUCAGGUCAAGGUUGACUGAACUUUGUCUAGUGGUUUUAGAGGACAUUGGAUUUUUACAAGGUCAAAAACAAAAAACGACGACGGCGGACACCAAAUAAUUGCUAUAACCCAGAGCCAAAAUUAACCACGUAUGCUAAAAAUUGCGUUAAAACGAUUACAUACAUGUAUAUGAAAAAACUGGCUUUUCAGAAUAUCAAACGUUCCUGUCCAGUGGUAUACAUUUCAUUCAUAUUCAGGACGAGAAUAAACUAUCGAUUAAUACAAGUAUAUGUUCGGCCAGGAAAUUUGGACUACCACUGGAGAAAGAGGAUAUGUUAACGUACAGAGAGCGUGAUACUUACCCUAUACGAGGCAUCGGACUUUACGUCCCAAUCCGAACGGACGUGACUGUGUAUUUAUACAUCCCGCACAGCAAAACAGACGCCCCACAUUUCAAGGGUUUUUACUGCUGGUCGGGAGUUUGAAAAACAUAUUCUGAGAUCAUUGCUCUCCACACAAGAGUUAUUGAAUAAAUCGGACAGUGACAGUGACAAUUCUACAGAAAACAACCAGCAGACUUUGAGCACCCAGAAAUUAUGAUGCUACACAACAAGAAAAGAUUAAACAAGACUAAAGAAACAAUAUUGAUAUAGACAUUUUUUAUAUUAUAUUUGUGUUUUGUAACCAUACUCUAAGGAUUGACUAAGGUAUAUAGAUGUUGUCAAUUGGACUUCUCCCAUCCACUGUUAUAGAGAUGCGUUCGAUUUUCGAUGCUUUUUGAAUAGUUGUGUUGAAUCUGAUUCUCGUGUGGGCAGAUCCGAGCCCUCUGCACGUUAAAAAAUCAUUACAACAUCAAAUGAGUAUCAGUAUAAUUAGUCUUGUCCCUAUCCAACAUACUCCUUUUCAAAUCCCGUCCCUCAUCAAAAUCGACCCCUUUGCAGAACCAACCCAUUGAGCUAAUCAAUUUGUUCUUAAUUUAUUUUGAAUUUGCAUGAAAUUUUGCCACAGGAAAUUUAGCAAACAACAAUCUCCGUUGCCUAAUAUACCGUUUUUAUAGUUUAAUUCUUUGCCUAUACUAAAUCUUUUUAAUGGUCUUUAAAUGAACCGUUUGUUAGUCCAUCGAUGAACAUUAAAACUGUGGAAGGUUAAGAUCACAAAAAGGGUUCAACCCCGCCACAUAUCCAUGUUCCUUUCACAAUUCAGGAACCGAA
This is a long non-coding RNA of Mytilus californianus (California mussel), 1318 nucleotides long. RefSeq lists it as uncharacterized. Lineage: Eukaryota; Metazoa; Mollusca; Bivalvia; Mytilida; Mytilidae. The record is from RefSeq and is a predicted model, not a curated record. The transcript has 2 exons.